GUGAGGAAUAUUGGUCAAUGGGCGGGAGCCUGAACCAGCCAAGUCGCGUGAAGGAAGAAGGAUCUAUGGUUCGUAAACUUCUUUUGCAGGGGAAUAAAGUGCAGGACGUGUCCUGUUUUGUAUGUACCCUGAGAAUAAGGAUCGGCUAACUCCGUGCCAGCAGCCGCGGUAAUACGGAGGGUCCGAGCGUUAUCCGGAUUUAUUGGGUUUAAAGGGUGCGUAGGUGGUUUGAUAAGUCAGCGGUGAAAGUUUGCAGCUUAACUGUAAAAAUGCCGUUGAAACUGUCGGACUUGAGUGUAAAUGAGGUAGGCGGAAUGCGUGGUGUAGCGGUGAAAUGCAUAGAUAUCACGCAGAACUCCGAUUGCGAAGGCAGCUUACUAAGCUACAACUGACACUGAAGCACGAAAGCGUGGGGAUCAAACAGGAUUAGAAACCCUGGUAGUCC
This 445-nucleotide ribosomal RNA is filed under the name uncultured bacterium. Its description in RNAcentral is "partial 16S ribosomal RNA". It matches the Rfam family "Bacterial small subunit ribosomal RNA", at positions 354 to 796 of the family's 1533-position model. The record is from RNAcentral.